CAAGUGGAGAGGAGGCCUCCUUCAGUUCCUUCUGGUCUUAAGACUCCAUAACUGAGUGAGAAGGACCUUUGCAGCUGGGGUGCAGUAGAGGCCUCUGCAAGCUCGCUCCCCCCACCCCUGCCAGCUCAGCAGGGGUGCCUGAGUCUCCUUGGGCCGCUCUGCUGCCGCAUGCUAACUCAGCAGCCACUCCGGUCCCUUGACGACAGAGCCCUGCUCUCGUGACAGAGUUGGCAAACCCCAGGCCGGAAGUGAAGGAGACACACAUCUUUCUUCCUGUCUGACAUUGGAUGGAGCCGGUGGUAGGAGGCUGUGGCACCUGUGACUAUUGACAGGACAGCAGAGAGUCGCAGAAGCCACCCCAAGGAUUGGCUGAAUCAAUGGCCCUAAAAUUGCCUAUACCCUGACCUGUUGCUCUGUAAGCCAAUAAAUAUCAGGGUUUAAGUCA
Suricata suricatta (meerkat) is the source of this 445-nucleotide long non-coding RNA. RefSeq lists it as uncharacterized. Lineage: Eukaryota; Metazoa; Chordata; Mammalia; Carnivora; Herpestidae. The record is from RefSeq and is a predicted model, not a curated record. The transcript has 2 exons.